This 92-nucleotide transfer RNA is filed under the name Oceanobacillus piezotolerans. RNAcentral describes it as "Oceanobacillus sp. YLB-02 tRNA-Ser". It matches the Rfam family "tRNA". From Rfam's summary of the family: Transfer RNA (tRNA) molecules are approximately 80 nucleotides in length. Their secondary structure includes four short double-helical elements and three loops (D, anti-codon, and T loops). Further hydrogen bonds mediate the characteristic L-shaped molecular structure. tRNAs have two regions of fundamental functional importance: the anti-codon, which is responsible for specific mRNA codon recognition, and the 3' end, to which the tRNAs corresponding amino acid is attached (by aminoacyl-tRNA synthetases). tRNAs cope with the degeneracy of the genetic code in two manners: having more than one tRNA (with a specific anti-codon) for a particular amino acid; and 'wobble' base-pairing, i.e. permitting non-standard base-pairing at the 3rd anti-codon position. Lineage: Bacteria; Bacillati; Bacillota; Bacilli; Caryophanales; Bacillaceae. The record is from RNAcentral.
GGAGAGCUGUCCGAGAGGCCGAAGGAGCACGAUUGGAAAUCGUGUAUACCAUUACCGUGGUAUCGAGGGUUCGAAUCCCUCGCUCUCCGCCA